CCUACGGGUGGCAGCAGUGGGGGAUAUUGCACAAUGGGGGAAACCCUGAUGCAGCGACGCCGCGUGGGUGAAGAAGCGCCUCGGCGCGUAAAGCCCUGUCAGCAGGGAAGAAAAUGACGGUACCUGAAGAAGAAGCCCCGGCUAACUAGGUGCCAGCAGCCGCGGUAAUACGUAGGGGGCAAGCGUUAUCCGGAUUUACGGGGUGUAAAGGGGGCGCAGACGGGGAUGCAAGCCAGGAGUGAAAGCCCGGGGCCCAACCCCGGGACUGCUCUUGGAACUGGGUGGCUAGAGUGCAGGAGGGGCAGGCGGAAUUCCUGGUGUAGCGGUGAAAUGCGUAGAUAUCAGGAGGAACACCGGUGGCGAAGGCAGCCUGCUGGACUGCAACUGACGUUGAGGCCCGAAAGCGUGGGGAGCAAACAGGAUUAGAUACCCUUGUAGUC
RNAcentral lists this ribosomal RNA (440 nucleotides) under uncultured bacterium. Its description in RNAcentral is "partial 16S ribosomal RNA". It matches the Rfam family "Bacterial small subunit ribosomal RNA", at positions 338 to 795 of the family's 1533-position model. The record is from RNAcentral.